AUUGAACGCUGGCGGCAGGCCUAACACAUGCAAGUCGAGCGGAUGAAGGGAGCUUGCUCCUGGAUUCAGCGGCGGACGGGUGAGUAAUGCCUAGGAAUCUGCCUGGUAGUGGGGGAUAACGUCCGGAAACGGGCGCUAAUACCGCAUACGUCCUGAGGGAGAAAGUGGGGGAUCUUCGGACCUCACGCUAUCAGAUGAGCCUAGGUCGGAUUAGCUAGUUGGUGGGGUAAAGGCCUACUAAGGCGACGAUCCGUAACUGGUCUGAGAGGAUGAUCAGUCACACUGGAGCGGAGACACGGUCCAGACUCCUACGGGAGGCAGCAGUGGGGAAUAUUGGACAAUGGGCGAAAGCCUGAUCCAGCCAUGCCGCGUGUGUGAAGAAGGUCUUCGGAUUGUAAAGCACUUUAAGUUGGGAGGAAGGGCAGUAAGUUAAUACCUUGCUGUUUUGACGUUACCAACAGAAUAAGCACCGGCUAACUUCGUG
This 484-nucleotide ribosomal RNA is filed under the name uncultured bacterium. Its description in RNAcentral is "partial 16S ribosomal RNA". It matches the Rfam family "Bacterial small subunit ribosomal RNA", at positions 30 to 507 of the family's 1533-position model. The record is from RNAcentral.